Molecule: ribosomal RNA, 245 nt
Filed under: uncultured beta proteobacterium
Lineage: Bacteria; Pseudomonadati; Pseudomonadota; Betaproteobacteria
Description: partial 16S ribosomal RNA
Rfam family: Bacterial small subunit ribosomal RNA
Source: RNAcentral
UACGUAGGGUGCGAGCGUUAAUCGGAAUUACUGGGCGUAAAGCGUGCGCAGGCGGUCUCAAAAGCCAGAUGUGAAAUCCCCGGGCUCAACCUGGGAACUGCGUUUGGAACUCUGAGACUGGAGUACGGGAGAGGGAGAUGGAAUUCCACGUGUAGCAGUGAAAUGCGUAGAGAUGUGGAGGAACACCGAUGGCGAAGGCAGUCUCCUGGCCUGAUACUGACGCUCAUGCACGAAAGCGUGGGGAG